Molecule: long non-coding RNA, 332 nt
Filed under: Haliotis rufescens (red abalone)
Lineage: Eukaryota; Metazoa; Mollusca; Gastropoda; Lepetellida; Haliotidae
Description: uncharacterized LOC124142851
Source: RNAcentral
CUAUCUUGUCGGCAAACUGUGAACAUCAGGAUGAAACAUCUGUUUGCUGUAGUGUUGGUCGCAUUGGUGUUGGCUGUUGCACAGGCCACCUAUCAGCAUGGAAAGGGUUAUCAUGGUUAUAAAAAAUAUGACUACCCAGGCCAGAAGUAUGACAGAUAUGAUUACCCCAACGAAGGGUAUUACCAUGGCAGAUAUGACUUCCCCCACCAGAAGAAUGGCCACGGUUACAACAGAUAUGAUUAUCUCUACCAGAAGUACUACUAGUGUUCUUCACUGAGGGAAUGUUCACGCUGAAGAAUAUCAGAUGGAACAAUAAAUCACCAUAGCAUUUA